This 731-nucleotide ribosomal RNA is filed under the name uncultured eukaryote. RNAcentral's name for it is "SSU rRNA". It matches the Rfam family "Eukaryotic small subunit ribosomal RNA", at positions 670 to 1427 of the family's 1831-position model. The record is from RNAcentral.
CGCGUGCACUGGUCCGGCCGGGCCUUUCCCUCUGCGGAACCCCAUGCCCUUCACUGGGUGUGGCGGGGAAACAGGACUUUUACUUUGAAAAAAUUAGAGUGCUCAAGGCAGGCCUAUGCUCGAAUACAUUAGCAUGGAAUAAUAGAAUAGGACGUGUGGUUCUAUUUUGUUGGUUUCUAGGACCGCCGUAAUGAUUAAUAGGGACAGUCGGGGGCAUCAGUAUUCAAUUGUCAGAGGUGAAAUUCUUGGAUUUAUUGAAGACUAACUACUGCGAAAGCGUUUGCCAAGGAUGUUUUCAUUAAUCAGGAACGAAAGUUAGGGGAUCGAAGACGAUCAGAUACCGUCGUAGUCUUAACCAUAAACUAUGCCGACUAGGGAUCGGACGAUGUUACAUUUUUGACGCGUUCGGCACCUUACGAGAAAUCAAAGUGCUUGGGCUCCAGGGGGAGUAUGGUCGCAAGGCUGAAACUUAAAGAAAUUGACGGAAGGGCACCACCAGGGGUGGAGCCUGCGGCUUAAUUUGACUCAACACGGGGAAACUCACCAGGUCCAGACACAAUGAGGAUUGACAGAUUGAGAGCUCUUUCUUGAUUUUGUGGGUGGUGGUGCAUGGCCGUUCUUAGUUGGUGGAGUGAUUUGUCUGCUUAAUUGCGAUAACGAACGAGACCUUAACCUGCUAAAUAGCCCGUAUUGCUUUGGCAGUACGCUGGCUUCUUAGAGGGACUAUCGCG